RNAcentral lists this ribosomal RNA (397 nucleotides) under uncultured bacterium. RNAcentral's name for it is "bacterial SSU rRNA". It matches the Rfam family "Bacterial small subunit ribosomal RNA", at positions 362 to 776 of the family's 1533-position model. The record is from RNAcentral.
UAUUGGACAAUGGGCGAAAGCCUGAUCCAGCAAUGCCGCGUGAGUGAUGAAGGCCUUAGGUUUGUAAAGCUCUUUUACCCGGGAUGAUAAUGACAGUACCGGGAGAAUAAGCCCCGGCUAACUCCGUGCCAGCAGCCGCGGUAAUACGGAGGGGGCUAGCGUUGUUCGGAAUUACUGGGCGUAAAGCGAACGUAGGCGGCUUUGUAAGUUAGAGGUGAAAGCCUGGGGCUCAACCCCAGAAUUGCCUUUGAUACUGCAAGGCUUGAAUCCAGGAGAGGUGAGUGGAAUUCCGAGUGUAGAGGUGAAAUUCGUAGAUAUUCGGAAGAACACCAGUGGCGAAGGCGGCUCACUGGACUGGUAUUGACGCUGAGGUGCGAAAGCGUGGGGAGCAAACAGG